GAUGAAGAACGUAGCGAAAUGCGAUAAGUAGUGUGAAUUGCAGAAUUCAGUGAAUCAUCGAAUCUUUGAACGCACAUUGCGCCCUUUGGUAUUCCAAAGGGCAUGCCUGUUCGAGCGUCAUUUGUACCCUCAAGCACGGCUUGUGUGUUGGGCUUCCGUCCCUGGCAACGGGGACGGGCCCAAAAGGCAGUGGCGGCACCAUGUCUGGUCCUCGAGCGUAUGGGGCUUUGUCACCCGCUCCCGUAGGUCCAGCUGGCAGCUAGCCUCGCAACCAAUCUUUUUAACCAGGUUGACCUCGGAUCAGGUAGGGAUACCCGCUGAACUUAAGCAUAUCAAUAAGCGGAGGA
Molecule: unclassified non-coding RNA, 347 nt
Filed under: soil metagenome
Description: partial contains 5.8S ribosomal RNA, internal transcribed spacer 2, and large subunit ribosomal RNA
Rfam family: 5.8S ribosomal RNA (bases 1-120)
Source: RNAcentral